Molecule: transfer RNA, 65 nt
Filed under: Aoria nigripes
Lineage: Eukaryota; Metazoa; Arthropoda; Insecta; Coleoptera; Chrysomelidae
Description: tRNA-Ala
Source: RNAcentral
GGGAUAAUAAUUUAUUUUAAAAUAUUUAAAUUGCAAUUAAAAAAAAUUGACUUCAAUUUAUCUCU